CGAAAGCCUGACGGAGCAACGCCGCGUGCGGGAGGACGGCCUGUGGGUUGUAAACCGCUUUUCUCAGGGAAGAAGAUCUGACGGUACCUGAGGAAUCAGCAUCGGCUAACUCCGUGCCAGCAGCCGCGGUAAUACGGAGGAGGCAAGCGUUAUCCGGAAUGAUUGGGCGUAAAGCGUCCGCAGGUGGCAAUGUAAGUCUGCUGUCAAAACCCAGGGCUCAACUCUGGUCAGGCAGUGGAAACUGAAUAGCUAGAGUGCGGUAGGGGCAGAGGGAAUUCCCGGUGUAGCGGUGAAAUGCGUAGAGAUCGGGAAGAACACCGGUGGCGAAAGCGCUCUGCUGGGCCGCAACUGACACUGAGGGACGAAAGCUAGGGGAGCG
Molecule: ribosomal RNA, 379 nt
Filed under: uncultured cyanobacterium
Lineage: Bacteria; Bacillati; Cyanobacteriota
Description: bacterial SSU rRNA
Rfam family: Bacterial small subunit ribosomal RNA
Source: RNAcentral